Molecule: long non-coding RNA, 292 nt
Organism: Branchiostoma belcheri (Belcher's lancelet)
Lineage: Eukaryota; Metazoa; Chordata; Leptocardii; Amphioxiformes; Branchiostomatidae
Exons: 3
Source: RefSeq, a predicted model, not a curated record
UUUGAGGAACAAGACGUCUGCAAAACACCAGGUACAAUGAUGGGGGCUAAAAGGACCAAGUUGCACAAGGGAUUAGGGAAACAUGCCUAUAACAAAGCACAUGCAGGAACCAAGAGGGGAACAAAGAAAGCACAACGAGGAAAGAAAAGGAAGAACAAGAGGGAGCCGAAUCUUUCAAUUUGGCGACGCUAAUGACAAACGAACAAGUGGCAAUGGAUGUAGCAGGACCAUAGACGAAAUUUUGAAAUACAAAGAUCAGCGUAUUUUUCUUUGUGUUGUUAAACGUAAAUAU